UUAUGGGAAUGGUCUGGGAGCCGGGGUCUUCCUGCAGCCAGGUGCCUGGGGGUGCUGGGGUGGGGUGGGGUGGGGGCCCAGGGGCUACUCCUGUCUGACUUCCUCCUCCCUCCUCCAGAGUUCCCUGGGGCCAAUGGCUUUAGGAACGGUGAGUGGGGGGCAGAGGGCAGAGGGCAGGGGAUGAGGGCGAGGGAUGUCCAGGGGCCAGGCCGGAAUCUCUUGGAUCUUUUACAGGCUACGGGGAGGAAGCACCUGCCUACCCCAAAGCAGCAGUUCCAGGCCCCGAAGGAAAUGGUAGGAACGAGUGUUUAGGGGAUGAACCGCUGCCUGGGACCUCUGAGGCCCCGGGAAGUUUGCGGCAUCCUGGACGUCCAGCUCCAGAAGGCCAGGGUGCUCACAGUAGCCCUCCUCUGCAGGUCAGGCCGGGGCCCUCCGCGGCUCUUCCUGGCCCUCCGUCCAGCCCUGGGGCCUCGCCCCGAAGCCUGGAUAUGGGGCUGGAGGCGCGUAUUCAGGGGUCGGGAGCCAGCCAGCAACCUAUGGACAGCUGAGGCCAGAGCUGGGUCCCGGACCCUUCGGCAGCCCGGAUGUGAAGAGAGGCAGCAGCGGCCUGGGAAACGGCUAUGGAGGUGAGACGGUCAUGGUGGCCCUGCCCGCCCCCCUUGCCCUCUGUUACCACUGUUGCCCCUCCAGGCUGGCUCCCCAGCCCUUGGAGGGACAGCGGGCUCUCAGGUCGCCUGUGGGUAUCUGUUGAGUGACUUAGAGACCAGAGGAGGAAGAGGGACAGCUUGGGGGCCCUGGGAGGCAAGGAGGGGUCCAGACCUCACCAGGGCCCUGUCUCUCCCCAGGCCCCUGACCUCUUGGGAGGCACUGAGCCCUGAGGCCCUGCUGACCCCUCCUGAGAACCCUGGACGCAGCCUGGGGUGUUGGGCAAGGGCGCCCAGACCCAGGGGCGUGCUUCUGGCCUGGGGUCUCCUGCAGGCUGAAAGUAUUAAUAAAGGCGACGUGCUUCACUGUUUGGCUGCGUGC
This 1026-nucleotide long non-coding RNA is filed under the name Vulpes vulpes (red fox). Its description in RNAcentral is "lncRNA (ENSVVUG00000008685.1)". Lineage: Eukaryota; Metazoa; Chordata; Mammalia; Carnivora; Canidae. The record is from RNAcentral.